UAGCACAGAGAGCUUGCUCUCGGGUGACGAGUGGCGGACGGGUGAGUAAUGUCUGGGAAACUGCCCGAUGGAGGGGGAUAACUACUGGAAACGGUAGCUAAUACCGCAUAACGUCGCAAGACCAAAGAGGGGGACCUUCGGGCCUCUUGCCAUCGGAUGUGCCCAGAUGGGAUUAGCUUGUAGGUGAGGUAACGGCUCACCUAGGCGACGAUCCCUAGCUGGUCUGAGAGGAUGACCAGCCACACUGGAAC
This 251-nucleotide ribosomal RNA is filed under the name Staphylococcus condimenti. Its description in RNAcentral is "partial 16S ribosomal RNA". It matches the Rfam family "Bacterial small subunit ribosomal RNA", at positions 68 to 319 of the family's 1533-position model. Lineage: Bacteria; Bacillati; Bacillota; Bacilli; Caryophanales; Staphylococcaceae. The record is from RNAcentral.